UACAGAGGUCCCAAGCGUUGUUCGGAUUCACUGGGCGUAAAGGGUGCGUAGGCGGUCGGGUAAGUCUGAUGUGAAAUCUCCAAGCUCAACUUGGAAAUGGCAUCGGAUACUAUUCGGCUCGAGGAAUGGAGGGGAGACUGGAAUACUUGGUGUAGCAGUGAAAUGCGUAGAUAUCAAGUGGAACACCAGUGGCGAGGGCGAGUCUCUGGACAUUUCCUGACGCUGAGGCACGAAAGCCAGGGGAGCAAACGGG
Molecule: ribosomal RNA, 253 nt
Filed under: uncultured bacterium
Lineage: Bacteria
Description: partial 16S ribosomal RNA
Rfam family: Bacterial small subunit ribosomal RNA
Source: RNAcentral